Molecule: long non-coding RNA, 706 nt
Filed under: Malus domestica (apple)
Lineage: Eukaryota; Viridiplantae; Streptophyta; Magnoliopsida; Rosales; Rosaceae
Description: long non-coding RNA (MDOM_LNC017374)
Source: RNAcentral
CCACGAGGGCCGAUCUUAGAAAUCGAAGAGGCACCUACUUUUCCAGCCUUUUCCAGCCUUGUCAGCACCUGUCACACGCACACUCAGUUUUGCGGAAAUUAUGGGCAUUCUGUCAAAGACUUCUGGGGAAGUAGAAAACACAUGAAUCUUACUGUUCAAUCACCCACUUCCCAUACGCAACAAUAGCUCAUGGGUACCACAAAUAACUUUGCCAAAGUUCUCUGCCAAAGUUGAGCACGUGAAGCUUGCAGCUCCCACUACAUCGCUCUGACCAAGAAGGGUAAAAGAAUAGCAAAGAAACAGCACUAACAAAGUUUAGACCCAUAAAUUUUGACGGUCUAGCUACCAUAUUAUUACCCACAAGGGUAAAGGAACAGUACCACUGCUGGAUAAUUGGAAAGUCCCUGUGUGUCAACCUCUGUGCUUCGUGGCAAGGUAGACUAGCAAACAUGCCCAACCUUUACUCACAUUCGAGAAAACACUCCCAAUAAGAUUGCUUGCUCCUAAAUCGAAGAGGCACCGUCCUCCGAAUCUCGAGAGCCAGACUCCCAACAUGACUACUUUCUUAAAAAUCGAAGAGAGGGUAAAGGAACAGUACCAUUGCUGGAUAAUUGGAAAGUCCCUGUGUGUCAACCUCUGUGCUUCGUUCGUGGCAAGGUAGACUAGCAAACAUGCCCAACCUUUACUCACAUUCGAGAAAACACUC